This 314-nucleotide RNase P RNA is filed under the name bovine gut metagenome. RNAcentral's name for it is "Bacterial RNase P class A". It matches the Rfam family "Bacterial RNase P class A". Rfam says of the family: Ribonuclease P (RNase P) is a ubiquitous endoribonuclease, found in archaea, bacteria and eukarya as well as chloroplasts and mitochondria. Its best characterised activity is the generation of mature 5'-ends of tRNAs by cleaving the 5'-leader elements of precursor-tRNAs. Cellular RNase Ps are ribonucleoproteins. The record is from RNAcentral.
CGGCCGAACGGACGCUUCGCAAGAAGAGGAAAGUCCGAGCAUCACAGGGCAGGGUGACGGGUAACGCCCGCUGAAGGUGACUUUAAGGAUAGUGCAACAGAAAUAAACCGCAGUAUUAUUACUGUAAGGAUGGAAAGGUGCGGUAAGAGCGCACCGGCAGUUCGGCAACGAAAUUGGCCGUGUAAACCCCACUCGAUGCAAGAGAGAAAACGAUCGUUCGCCCGACGCGUUUUCAAAAUCGCUUGAACCUUUCGGUAACGACUGGUCUAGACAGAUGUCCGUUCAAGACAGAACUCGGCUUACAGACCGUCUCG